UGGGGAAUAUUGGACAAUGGAGGCAACUCUGAUCCAGCAAUUCUGUGUGUGUGAAGAAGGUUUUAGGACUGUAAAACACUUUUAGUAGGGAAGAAAGAAAUGACGGUACCUACAGAAGAAGCGACGGCUAAAUACGUGCCAGCAGCCGCGGUAAUACGUAUGUCGCGAGCGUUAUCCGGAAUUAUUGGGCUUAAAGGGCAUCUAGGCGGUUAAACAAGUUGAAGGUGAAAACCUGUGGCUCAACCAUAGGCUUGCCUACAAAACUGUAUAACUAGAGUACUGGAAAGGUAGGUGGAACUACACGAGUAGAGGUGAAAUUCGUAGAUAUGUGUAGGAAUGCCGAUGAUGAAGAUAACUCACUGGACAGCAACUGACGCUGAAGUGCGAAAGCUAGGGGAGCAAACAGG
RNAcentral lists this ribosomal RNA (407 nucleotides) under Verrucomicrobiota bacterium. RNAcentral describes it as "Verrucomicrobia bacterium partial 16S ribosomal RNA". It matches the Rfam family "Bacterial small subunit ribosomal RNA", at positions 355 to 776 of the family's 1533-position model. The record is from RNAcentral. Lineage: Bacteria; Pseudomonadati; Verrucomicrobiota.